This is a non-coding RNA of Triticum aestivum (bread wheat), 116 nucleotides long. The record is from Rfam. Lineage: Eukaryota; Viridiplantae; Streptophyta; Magnoliopsida; Poales; Poaceae.
CUAAUACUCUCUCCGUCAUGAAUUACUUAUCAUAGAAAUGGAUGUAUCUAGACGUACUUUUAGUUCUAGAUACAUCCAUUUAUGUGACAAGUAAUUCGUGAUGGAGGGAGUACAAA